RNAcentral lists this ribosomal RNA (437 nucleotides) under uncultured Sulfitobacter sp. Its description in RNAcentral is "bacterial SSU rRNA". It matches the Rfam family "Bacterial small subunit ribosomal RNA", at positions 29 to 514 of the family's 1533-position model. Lineage: Bacteria; Pseudomonadati; Pseudomonadota; Alphaproteobacteria; Rhodobacterales; Roseobacteraceae. The record is from RNAcentral.
AACGAACGCUGGCGGCAGGCCUAACACAUGCAAGUCGAGCGCACCUUCGGGUGAGCGGCGGACGGGUUAGUAACGCGUGGGAACAUACCCUUUUCUACGGAAUAGCCUCGGGAAACUGAGAGUAAUACCGUAUAAGCCCUUCGGGGGAAAGAUUUAUCGGGAAAGGAUUGGCCCGCGUUAGAUUAGAUAGUUGGUGGGGUAAUGGCCUACCAAGUCUACGAUCUAUAGCUGGUUUUAGAGGAUGAUCAGCAACACUGGGACUGAGACACGGCCCAGACUCCUACGGGAGGCAGCAGUGGGAAUCUUAGACAAUGGGCGCAAGCCUGAUCUAGCCAUGCCGCGUGUGUGAUGAAGGUCUUAGGAUCGUAAAGCACUUUCGCCAGGGAUGGUAAUGACAGUACCUGGUAAAGAGACCCCGGCUAACUCCGUGCCAGCCG